Molecule: ribosomal RNA, 495 nt
Filed under: uncultured bacterium
Lineage: Bacteria
Description: partial 16S ribosomal RNA
Rfam family: Bacterial small subunit ribosomal RNA
Source: RNAcentral
GACGAACGCUGGCGGCGUGCCUAAUACAUGCAAGUAGAACGCUGAAGGAGGAGCUUGCUUCUCUGGAUGAGUUGCGAACGGGUGAGUAACGCGUAGGUAACCUGCCUGGUAGCGGGGGAUAACUAUUGGAAACGAUAGCUAAUACCGCAUAAGAGUAGAUGUUGCAUGACAUUUGCUUAAAAGGUGCAAUUGCAUCACUACCAGAUGGACCUGCGUUGUAUUAGCUAGUUGGUGGGGUAACGGCUCACCAAGGCGACGAUACAUAGCCGACCUGAGAGGGUGAUCGGCCACACUGGGACUGAGACACGGCCCAGACUCCUACGGGAGGCAGCAGUAGGGAAUCUUCGGCAAUGGACGGAAGUCUGACCGAGCAACGCCGAGUGAGUGAAGAAGGUUUUCGGAUCGUAAAGCUCGGUUGUAAGAGAAGAACGAGUGUGAGAGUGGAAAGUUCACACUGUGACGGUAUCUUACAAGAAAGGGACGGCUAACUACGUG